RNAcentral lists this ribosomal RNA (495 nucleotides) under uncultured bacterium. RNAcentral's name for it is "partial 16S ribosomal RNA". It matches the Rfam family "Bacterial small subunit ribosomal RNA", at positions 28 to 507 of the family's 1533-position model. The record is from RNAcentral.
GACGAACGCUGGCGGCGUGCCUAAUACAUGCAAGUAGAACGCUGAAGGAGGAGCUUGCUUCUCUGGAUGAGUUGCGAACGGGUGAGUAACGCGUAGGUAACCUGCCUGGUAGCGGGGGAUAACUAUUGGAAACGAUAGCUAAUACCGCGUAAUAGUAGAUGUUGCAUGACAUUUGCUUAAAAGGUGCAAUUGCAUCACUACCAGAUGGACCUGCGUUGUAUUAGCUAGUUGGUGGGGUAACGGCUCACCAAGGCGACGAUACAUAGCCGACCUGAGAGGGUGAUCGGCCACACUGGGACUGAGACACGGCACAGACUCCUACGGGAGGCAGCAGUAGGAAAUCUUCGGCAAUGGACGGAAGUCUGACCGAGCAACGCCGCGUGAGUGAAGAAGGUUUUCGGAUCGUAAAGCUCUGUUGUAAGAGAAGAACGAGUGUGAGAGUGGAAAGUUCACACUGUGACGGUAUCUUACCAGAAAGGGACGGCUAACUACGUG